CAGGAAGUUUAUUUUGAGACUAGAGAAAGAACCCGGAAGUUGGGUUUGAAGGGACACAUUGUCAUUUUUUGGAUCAAAUGCCAUUUUGGAUUACUACCAUGAUAGCCCUGGCAGAACUUCACACAGACAAAAACGACUCCCUGGAAUGGGCGCUCAGCCUGAAGGUCAGAGAGGAUGACUCACUGCUGACGUUGGAAGGCCCAUCUGAAACCCACUGCCGUCACACGCAGAGGCUGUGCACAGCCGAGACAGAGGAUACUGCAGCCUACCACCGGGACAGAAAGAACGCUAGAGAGAUGUCUGCUUUACAAAAAGCCCUGCAGCGUCCUGAGCCAGUUCCCCGCUCUAGAUGGUUGUUCCUAUUAUUACUCAGCUCCUGGGUUUUCUUUCUCUAUUUCCACCUGAUUACGUGUCAGGUGAUUGUCAGUCAUAAGACAGUUUGGUCACAUGAUAAGAUGGUCUGUGAUACCUGAAUACUUCCUCCCUCCCAUCAAAGUUGCACCAAUAAACAGAACAAUUUUGGUGAAAAUCUUAGAGUUUGACAACUUCUAUCUCAGGUAUUAUUCUGUCUUUUCUGGAGGAAAAGCGCAUGAGCACACACACACGCACACAGCCUGUUAGAGGUAAGCCAAAGAAGG
Chinchilla lanigera (long-tailed chinchilla) is the source of this 638-nucleotide long non-coding RNA. Ensembl lists it as uncharacterized. The record is from Ensembl. Lineage: Eukaryota; Metazoa; Chordata; Mammalia; Rodentia; Chinchillidae.